Molecule: unclassified non-coding RNA, 102 nt
Organism: Chlorocebus sabaeus (green monkey)
Lineage: Eukaryota; Metazoa; Chordata; Mammalia; Primates; Cercopithecidae
Rfam family: Y RNA
About the family: Y RNAs are components of the Ro ribonucleoprotein particle (Ro RNP), in association with Ro60 and La proteins.
Source: Ensembl
GGCUGGUCUGAGUGCAGUGGUGUUUACAACUAAUUGAUCACAACUAGUUACAGAUGUCUUUGUUUCUUCUUCACUCCCAGUGUUUCACUUGACUAGCCUUUA